Molecule: ribosomal RNA, 1394 nt
Filed under: uncultured bacterium
Lineage: Bacteria
Description: 16S ribosomal RNA
Rfam family: Bacterial small subunit ribosomal RNA
Source: RNAcentral
AGAGUUUGAUCCUGGCUCAGGAUGAACGCUAGCGGCAGGCUUAACACAUGCAAGUCGAGGGGCAGCAUGUCCAGCAAUGGAUGAUGGCGACCGGCGGAAGGGUGCGUAACGCGUGAGCAACAUGCCCUAUACAGGGAGAUACACCAGGGAAACUUGGUCUAAUAUCCCAUAGCAUUCAUUGAAGGCAUCUUUAAUGAAUUAAAGCUUCGGUGGUAUAGGAUUGGCUCGCGUGACAUUAGCCAGAUGGUGAGGUAACGGCUCACCAUAGCAAUGAUGUCUAGGGGUUUUGAGAGGAAGGCCCCCCACACUGGGACUGAGACACGGCCCAGACUCCUACGGGAGGCAGCAGUGAGGAAUAUUGGACAAUGGCCGGAAGGCUGAACCAGCCAAGUAGCGUGCAGGAUGACUGCCUUAUGGGUUGUAAACUGCUUUUUUACGGGAAUAAUUAUGAUCACGUGUGAUUAUUUGCAUGUACCGUAAGAAUAAGGAUCGGCUAACUCCGUGCCAGCAGCCGCGGUAAUACGGAGGAUCCUAGUGUUAUCCGGAUUUAUUGGGUUUAAAGGGAGCGUAGGCGGGAGGUCAAGUCAGCUGUGAAAUGUAUCUGCUUAACGGGUACACUGCAGUUGAAACUGGUUUUCUUGAGUGCGUAAGAGGCAGGCGGAAUUCGUUGUGUAGCGGUGAAAUGCUUAGAUAUGACGAGGAACUCCUAUUGCGAAGGCAGCUUGCUGGGUCGUUACUGACGCUGAUGCUCGAAGGUGCGGGGAUCAAACAGGAUUAGAUACCCUGGUAGUCCGCACAGUAAACUAUGGAUACUCUCUGCCGGCGAUACAUUGUCGGUGGCCAAGCGAAAGCGUUAAGUAUCCCACCUGGGGAGUACGUUCGCAAGAAUGAAACUCAAAGGAAUUGACGGGGGCCCGCACAAGCGGAGGAACAUGUGGUUUAAUUCGAUGAUACGCGAGGAACCUUACCCGGGUUUGAAUUGCUGAUGGCGGUAUUUGGAGACAGAUACUUCCCUUCGGGGCGUCAGUGAAGGUGCUGCAUGGUUGUCGUCAGCUCGUGCCGUGAGGUGUCGGCUUAAGUGCCAUAACGAGCGCAACCCUUGUCAUUAGUUGCCAUCAGGUCAAGCUGGGGACUUUAAUGAGACUGCCACCGUAAGGUGUGAGGAAGGGGGGGAUGACGUCAAAUCAGCACGGCCCUUAUGUCCAGGGCUACACACGUGUUACAAUGGCCAAUACAAAGGGCAGCCACCCGGCGACGGGGUGCUAAUCCAUAAAGUUGGUCUUAGUUCGGAUCGGAGUCUGCAACUCGACUCCGUGAAGCUGGAUUCGCUAGUAAUCGUAGAUCAGCCAUGCUACGGUGAAUACGUUCCCGGGCCUUGUACACACCGCCCGUCA